RNAcentral lists this ribosomal RNA (467 nucleotides) under uncultured bacterium. Its description in RNAcentral is "bacterial SSU rRNA". It matches the Rfam family "Bacterial small subunit ribosomal RNA", at positions 355 to 825 of the family's 1533-position model. The record is from RNAcentral.
UAGGGAAUAUUGGACAAUGGGUGAGAGCCUGAUCCAGCCAUGCCGCGUGCAGGAAGAAGGCGUUAUGCGUUGUAAACUGCUUUUUGCCAGGGGAUAAAAAGACCGUGCGCGGUUAAUUGAAGGUACCUGGUGAAUAAGCCACGGCUAACUACGUGCCAGCAGCCGCGGUAAUACGUAGGUGGCAAGCGUUAAUCGGAAUUACUGGGCGUAAAGCGUGCGCAGGCGGCUUUGCAAGACAGAUGUGAAAUCCCCGGGCUUAACCUGGGAACUGCAUUUGUGACUGCAAGGCUGGAGUGCGGCAGAGGGGGAUGGAAUUCCGCGUGUAGCAGUGAAAUGCGUAGAUAUGCGGAGGAACACCGAUGGCGAAGGCAAUCCCCUGGGCCUGCACUGACGCUCAUGCACGAAAGCGUGGGGAGCAAACAGGAUUAGAUACCCCUGUAGUCCCUGAGCGGGCUGGCAAGGCGCAU